AUGAAAUGUUAGGACGCUGUUUUUACAGGUCCGACCCUUUUAUUACCUUUCACACUGUGCACAUCACUACUUUUUUACACCCAUUUUUUAAACACUUAUAAAGUCAUUAGAGUGUUUAAAAAAUGGGUGUAAAAAAGUAGUGAUGUGCACAGUGUGAAAGGUAAUAAAAGGGUCGGACCUGUAAAAACAGCGUCCCUAACAUUUCAUUAAUGAUCAUCUACCUGUCUUAGGUUCACCGUACCGGAAGGAUCAUUCAUAAUAAGUGUUUUAUGGCACUUUUUAAAUCCAUAUCCACCUUGUGUGCAAUGUCAGUCGAUCUUCUUCAUGGAGAUCGACCAAACAUCAACCUUUAUCUUUUAACUCUUUGUCUGAAAAAUAUUAUGAAUAAACAAUUCAAAAUA
This 401-nucleotide unclassified non-coding RNA is filed under the name soil metagenome. Its description in RNAcentral is "partial internal transcribed spacer 1". The record is from RNAcentral.